Molecule: ribosomal RNA, 516 nt
Filed under: uncultured bacterium
Lineage: Bacteria
Description: partial 16S ribosomal RNA
Rfam family: Bacterial small subunit ribosomal RNA
Source: RNAcentral
AAUGAACGCUGGCGGCGUGCCUAACACAUGCAAGUCGUGCGCGAACGGGACUUCGGUCCUUAGUAGAGCGGCGAACGGGUGAGUAACACGUGGGUAACCUGCCUGGGAGUGGGGGAUAACCUGGGGAAACUCGGGCUAAUACCGCAUACGUUCCCGGGGCUUCGGCUCCGGGAGGAAAGAUGGCCUCUGCUUGCACGCUAUCUCUCCCAGAGGGGCCCGCGGCUGAUUAGCUAGUUGGUGGGGUAACGGCCCACCAAGGCGACGAUCAGUAGCCGGCCUGAGAGGGUGAUCGGCCACACUGGAACUGAGACACGGUCCAGACUCCUACGGGAGGCAGCAGUGGGGAAUAUUGGGCAAUGGGGGAAACCCUGAUCCAGCAACGCCGCGUGGGGGAUGAGGGUCUUCGGAUUGUAAACCCCUGUUGAGAGGGACGAAGGCUUUCGGGCAAACAGCUCGGAAGCUUGACGGUACCUCGAGAGGAAGCCCCGGCUAACUCUGUGCCAGCAGCCGCCGUAA